Molecule: ribosomal RNA, 397 nt
Filed under: Stenotrophomonas maltophilia
Lineage: Bacteria; Pseudomonadati; Pseudomonadota; Gammaproteobacteria; Lysobacterales; Lysobacteraceae
Description: bacterial SSU rRNA
Rfam family: Bacterial small subunit ribosomal RNA
Source: RNAcentral
GCUCUUACGGGUGGCGAGUGGCGGAGGGGUGAGGAAUACAUCGGAUCUACUUUUUCGUGGGGGAUAACGUAGGGAAACUUACGCUUAUACCGCACACCACCUACGGGUGAAAGCAGGGGAUCUUCGGACCUUGCGCGAUUGAAUGAGCCGAUCUCGGAAUAGCUUGUUGGCGGGGUAAAGGCCCACCAGGGCCACUAUCCGUAUCUUGUCUGAGAGGAUGAUCAGCCACACUGGAACUGAGACACGGUCCAGACUCCUACGGGAGGCAGCAGUGGGGAAUAUUGGACAAUGGGCGCACGCCUGAUCCAGCCAUACCGCGUGGGUGAAGAAGGCCUUCGGGUUGUAAAGCCCUUUUGUUGGGAAAGAAAUCCCGCCCGCUAACACCUGGUUGGGAUGA